RNAcentral lists this signal recognition particle RNA (147 nucleotides) under Nomascus leucogenys (northern white-cheeked gibbon). RNAcentral describes it as "Metazoan signal recognition particle RNA". It matches the Rfam family "Metazoan signal recognition particle RNA". From Rfam's summary of the family: The signal recognition particle (SRP) is a universally conserved ribonucleoprotein. It is involved in the co-translational targeting of proteins to membranes. Lineage: Eukaryota; Metazoa; Chordata; Mammalia; Primates; Hylobatidae. The record is from Rfam by way of RNAcentral.
GCCGGGCGUGGUGGCGCGCGUCUGUACUCCCAGCUACUGGGGAGGCUGAGGCAGGAGGAUCGCUUGAACCUGGGAGGCAGAGUUGCAGUGAACAGAGAUCGCGCCACUGCAACCCAGCCUGGGUGACAGAGCGAGACUCUGUCUCAA